GGCAACAUGCCCGAGUGGUUAAGGGGACAGACUUGAACUAAACCGGUCCUUGACCGGCGUAUUCUAAGGUAUCUGUUGGCUUCGGCCGCGUAGGUUCGAACCCUGCUGUUGUCG
RNAcentral lists this transfer RNA (114 nucleotides) under Colletotrichum incanum. It matches the Rfam family "tRNA". Rfam says of the family: Transfer RNA (tRNA) molecules are approximately 80 nucleotides in length. Their secondary structure includes four short double-helical elements and three loops (D, anti-codon, and T loops). Lineage: Eukaryota; Fungi; Ascomycota; Sordariomycetes; Glomerellales; Glomerellaceae. The record is from Rfam by way of RNAcentral.